RNAcentral lists this ribosomal RNA (376 nucleotides) under uncultured bacterium. RNAcentral describes it as "bacterial SSU rRNA". It matches the Rfam family "Bacterial small subunit ribosomal RNA", at positions 524 to 898 of the family's 1533-position model. The record is from RNAcentral.
UACGGGGGGGGCAAGCGUUGUUCGGAAUUACUGGGCGUAAAGGGCUCGUAGGCGGCCAACUAAGUCAGACGUGAAAUCCCUCGGCUUAACCGGGGAACUGCGUCUGAUACUGGAUGGCUUGAGUGUGGGAGAGGAAUGCGGAAUUCCAGGUGUAGCGGUGAAAUGCGUAGAUAUCUGGAGGAACACCGGUGGCGAAGGCGGCAUUCUGGACCAUUACUGACGCUGAGGAGCGAAAGCCAGGGGAGCAAACGGGAUUAGAUACCCCGGUAGUCCUGGCCCUAAACGAUGAAUGCUUGGUGUGACGGGUAUCGAUCCCUGUCGUGCCGAAGCUAACGCAUUAAGCAUUCCGCCUGGGGAGUACGGUCGCAAGGCUGAA